RNAcentral lists this ribosomal RNA (1265 nucleotides) under Salmonella enterica subsp. enterica serovar Typhimurium. RNAcentral's name for it is "bacterial LSU rRNA". It matches the Rfam family "Bacterial large subunit ribosomal RNA", at positions 981 to 2144 of the family's 2925-position model. The record is from RNAcentral. Lineage: Bacteria; Pseudomonadati; Pseudomonadota; Gammaproteobacteria; Enterobacterales; Enterobacteriaceae.
GAGACACACGGCGGGUGCUAACGUCCGUCGUGAAGAGGGAAACAACCCAGACCGCCAGCUAAGGUCCCAAAGUCAUGGUUAAGUGGGAAACGAUGUGGGAAGGCCCAGACAGCCAGGAUGUUGGCUUAGAAGCAGCCAUCAUUUAAAGAAAGCGUAAUAGCUCACUGGUCGAGUCGGCCUGCGCGGAAGAUGUAACGGGGCUAAACCAUGCACCGAAGCUGCGGCAGCGAACGUAUCACCCAAGACAACUUUACGGAGUUGACGAUUGACGGAGCGAAGCGACGUCAAAGCGUUCAUUAAAGUCGAGUUGGCUUAGGGAUACGUUCGUUGGGUAGGGGAGCGUUCUGUAAGCCUGUGAAGGUGUGUCGUGAGGCAUGCUGGAGGUAUCAGAAGUGCGAAUGCUGACAUAAGUAACGAUAAAGCGGGUGAAAAGCCCGCUCGCCGGAAGACCAAGGGUUCCUGUCCAACGUUAAUCGGGGCAGGGUGAGUCGACCCCUAAGGCGAGGCCGAAAGGCGUAGUCGAUGGGAAACGGGUUAAUAUUCCCGUACUUGGUGUUACUGCGAAGGGGGGACGGAGAAGGCUAUGUUGGCCGGGCGACGGUUGUCCCGGUUUAAGCGUGUAGGUGUGUGUUCCAGGUAAAUCCGGUUCACUUUAACACUGAGGCGUGAUGACGAGGCACUACGGUGCUGAAGCAACAAAUGCCCUGCUUCCAGGAAAAGCCUCUAAGCAUCAGGUAACAUCAAAUCGUACCCCAAACCGACACAGGUGGUCAGGUAGAGAAUACCAAGGCGCUUGAGAGAACUCGGGUGAAGGAACUAGGCAAAAUGGUGCCGUAACUUCGGGAGAAGGCACGCUGACACGUAGGUGAAGUGAUUUACUCACGGAGCUGAAGUCAGUCGAAGAUACCAGCUGGCUGCAACUGUUUAUUAAAAACACAGCACUGUGCAAACACGAAAGUGGACGUAUACGGUGUGACGCCUGCCCGGUGCCGGAAGGUUAAUUGAUGGGGUCAGCGCAAGCGAAGCUCCUGAUCGAAGCCCCGGUAAACGGCGGCCGUAACUAUAACGGUCCUAAGGUAGCGAAAUUCCUUGUCGGGUAAGUUCCGACCUGCACGAAUGGCGUAAUGAUGGCCAGGCUGUCUCCACCCGAGACUCAGUGAAAUUGAACUCGCUGUGAAGAUGCAGUGUACCCGCGGCAAGACGGAAAGACCCCGUGAACCUUUACUAUAGCUUGACACUGAACAUUGAGCCUUGAUGUGUAGGAU